Molecule: ribosomal RNA, 319 nt
Filed under: uncultured Actinomycetes bacterium
Lineage: Bacteria; Bacillati; Actinomycetota; Actinomycetes
Description: bacterial SSU rRNA
Rfam family: Bacterial small subunit ribosomal RNA
Source: RNAcentral
GACGAACGCUGGCGGCGUGCUUAACACAUGCAAGUCGAACGAUGAAGCCCUUCGGGGUGGAUUAGUGGCGAACGGGUGAGUAACACGUGGGCAAUCUGCCCUUCACUCUGGGACAAGCCCUGGAAACGGGGUCUAAUACCGGAUAAUACUUUCUCCCUCCUGGGAGAAGGUUGAAAGCUCCGGCGGUGAAGGAUGAGCCCGCGGCCUAUCAGCUAGUUGGUGGGGUAAUGGCCUACCAAGGCGACGACGGGUAGCCGGCCUGAGAGGGCGACCGGCCACACUGGGACUGAGACACGGCCCAGACUCCUACGGGUGGCAG